Molecule: ribosomal RNA, 1001 nt
Filed under: uncultured bacterium
Lineage: Bacteria
Description: bacterial SSU rRNA
Rfam family: Bacterial small subunit ribosomal RNA
Source: RNAcentral
GGGGAAUAUUGGGCAAUGGGCGCAAGCCUGACCCAGCAACGCCGCGUGAAGGAAGAAGGCUUUCGGGUUGUAAACUUCUUUUAAGAGGGAAGAGCAGAAGACGGUACCUCUAGAAUAAGCCACGGCUAACUACGUGCCAGCAGCCGCGGUAAUACGUAGGUGGCAAGCGUUGUCCGGAUUUACUGGGUGUAAAGGGCGUGCAGCCGGGUCUGCAAGUCAGAUGUGAAAUCCAUGGGCUCAACCCAUGAACUGCAUUUGAAACUGUAGAUCUUGAGUGUCGGAGGGGCAAUCGGAAUUCUUAGUGUAGCGGUGAAAUGCGUAGAUAUUAGGAGGAACACCAGUGGCGAAGGCGGAUUGCUGGACGAUAACUGACGGUGAGGCGCGAAAGUGUGGGGAGCAAACAGGAUUAGAUACCCUGGUAGUCCACGCUGUAAACGAUGGAUACUAGGUGUGCGGGGACUGACCCCCUGCGUGCCGCAGUUAACACAAUAAGUAUCCCACCUGGGGAGUACGAUCGCAAGGUUGAAACUCAAAGGAAUUGACGGGGGCCCGCACAAGCGGUGGAUUAUGUGGUUUAAUUCGAAGCAACGCGAAGAACCUUACCAGGGCUUGACAUCCUACUAACGAAGUAGAGAUACAUUAGGUGCCCUUCGGGGAAAGUAGAGACAGGUGGUGCAUGGUUGUCGUCAGCUCGUGUCGUGAGAUGUUGGGUUAAGUCCCGCAACGAGCGCAACCCCUAUUGUUAGUUGCUACGCAAGAGCACUCUAGCGAGACUGCCGUUGACAAAACGGAGGAAGGUGGGGACGACGUCAAAUCAUCAUGCCCCUUAUGUCCUGGGCUACACACGUAAUACAAUGGCGGUCAACAGAGGGAGGCAAAGCCGCGAGGCAGAGCAAACCCCCAAAAGCCGUCCCAGUUCGGAUCGCAGGCUGCAACCCGCCUGCGUGAAGUCGGAAUCGCUAGUAAUCGCGGAUCAGAAUGCCGCGGUGAAUACGUUCCCG